GUUUACCAAAAACAUGGCUUCUUGUAUAAUAACAAAUAAGGAGUCGGACCUGCCCGGUGAAAUUUUUUAACGGCCGCGGUACUCUGACCGUGCAAAGGUAGCAUAAUCAUUUGCCUUAUAAUUAAAGGCUGGUAUGAAUGGUUUGACAAGAAUGUAGCUGUCUCUUUAUAAUUUUAUAGAAUUUUAUUUUAAAGUGAAGAAGCUUUAAUUCAAUUAAUAGACAAGAAGACCCUAUCGAGCUUUAAAGAAAUCUUUAGAAAUUAAUUAAUAGUUUUUAAAAAAUUGGCUAUUGAAAUAUUUUGGUUGGGGCGACUAAGGAACAAAUAAAGCUUCCUUUUAUAUAACUUACAUACAUGUACUGAUCCAAAAUUUUUGAUUAAAGAAAUUAGUUACCGUAGGGAUAACAGCAUUAUCUUUUUUGAGAGCUCUUAUCGAAAAAAAGGUUUGUGACCUCGAUGUUGGACCAGAAUAUCCUAAAGAUGCAGAAGUCUUUAAAGGUUGGUCUGUUCGACCAUUAAAAUUCUACGUGAUCUGAGUUCAGACCGG
RNAcentral lists this ribosomal RNA (546 nucleotides) under Lophiotoma acuta. RNAcentral describes it as "partial 16S ribosomal RNA". It matches the Rfam family "Bacterial large subunit ribosomal RNA", at positions 1802 to 2619 of the family's 2925-position model. The record is from RNAcentral. Lineage: Eukaryota; Metazoa; Mollusca; Gastropoda; Neogastropoda; Turridae.